UCAUCGUCCUAGGAUUGCUCACCACCCUCAAGCUUAAAAACCCAGCCAAGACCUUUUGACGGGCAUCUUUAAGGGCUGAGUUGAACACGGCUGAAGGCUGGGGCUGUCUUUUCCCCUGGCGUCUUCCUCUGAAGCUGGCAGAAUGAUGGAGACAUGGUACUGAUUGUAUGAAAGCAACCCCUUCAGCCGAGUCCUGACUUCCCGGGAAGACCUGUGGAAGAAACAGGCCUCUUGAUGCAGAUGGCCACGAGUGGAUAGCCACCAGCAGGAGGAUGGAUUCAUGAAAGCUCAACUGCUAGUCCAUGGACCAUAAUGACUCCCAGGAUACCCAAUGCUAAGGAACGCUUCGCUCAUCUCCAAGCUUUGUGUCUGCCCUUGCUCCAAAGGAUGGGUUCUCCGAGUGCAAGUUUUGGCCAAGUUCCCACACAUGCUCUGUGUAGAAAAGAAGCUGGUGCACCUCUCAUGCGUGCCACGUAGGUUUCUGCCUUUAGUGGAAAAUUCUUGUGCCUUUUUUCCAUUCUGACAAGGAGGAAGACCUUUGUUCCACUUCCCUGCUGCCCUCAGCGUGUAGUCACAUUCUCUGUUGUU
Long non-coding RNA from Enhydra lutris kenyoni (northern sea otter), 588 nucleotides. RefSeq lists it as uncharacterized. The transcript has 3 exons. The record is from RefSeq and is a predicted model, not a curated record. NCBI's taxonomy places the organism in Eukaryota, Metazoa, Chordata, Mammalia, Carnivora, Mustelidae.